GGAGCCUUUACGCGCUCUCAUGGGCGCUCGAUAACCUCUUUCCGCUGCCGGCGCCGGCGGACGACGCCGGCGAGGUGGUGAUCGUUCACGUUCAACAGCCCUUCCAGAACUACGUCUUCCCCGCUGGGCCAGGUAUUAUGUAUCUGCCCGCAACAGAUCAUCCCCUUCUUCUUCGUCUUCUUCUGCUCCGCUUUGCUAGGGUUUUUUCGAGAUCUGAAUUAACCCGUCCGGAUCCUCUUCAGCAGCUUUGUACGCCACGUCGGCGGUUAUGGACUCGGUGAGGAAAGCGCAGCAACAGAACGCCGAGGCGCUGCUCGCGAAGGUCUCCCACGUCACCUCCGAGAAGCACACUACGGUGAGCAGCUUCUCUCCCGAAAUCCUAUUUAAGAAGGCGAAUCAUCUCGACGAUUUGACUGUGAAGCCUAAAACCUUCGUGAUUAAAAUUGAUCUCGGCUUGAAAGGGAAAAAAAAAAAAGAGGAGUAAAAAUCGAUGGAUUGGAUGAGAUUCUUUGCGUGCGAUUACGUGAGAGCAUCGAGGCUUUCUCUUGGGUUUUGAAAUUACUGGAUUCGAGGAGGAUGAGAAUUCUGAGACCCGAUCUCAAUGGAG
This 607-nucleotide long non-coding RNA is filed under the name Spirodela polyrhiza (greater duckweed). RNAcentral's name for it is "long non-coding RNA (SPOL_LNC001246)". Lineage: Eukaryota; Viridiplantae; Streptophyta; Magnoliopsida; Alismatales; Araceae. The record is from RNAcentral.